This 254-nucleotide ribosomal RNA is filed under the name uncultured bacterium. RNAcentral describes it as "partial 16S ribosomal RNA". It matches the Rfam family "Bacterial small subunit ribosomal RNA", at positions 74 to 334 of the family's 1533-position model. The record is from RNAcentral.
CAAACCAAAGCUGGCGACCGGCGCACGGGUGAGUAACACGUAUCCAACCUGCCUCAUACUCGGGGAUAGCCUUUCGAAAGAAAGAUUAAUAUCCGAUAGCAUAUAUUUCCCGCAUGGGUUUUAUAUUAAAGAAAUUCGGUAUGAGAUGGGGAUGCGUUCCAUUAGUUUGUUGGGGGGGUAACGGCCCACCAAGACUACGAUGGAUAGGGGUCUGAGAGGAAGGUCCCCCACAUUGGAACUGAGACACGGUCCAA